Molecule: ribosomal RNA, 254 nt
Filed under: uncultured bacterium
Lineage: Bacteria
Description: partial 16S ribosomal RNA
Rfam family: Bacterial small subunit ribosomal RNA
Source: RNAcentral
UACAGGGGGUGCAAACGUUGCUCGGAUUUACUGGGCGUAAAGGGCGCGUAGGCGGUCAGCACAAGUCAGUUGUGAAAUCUCCGGGCUUAACCCGGAAAGGUCAACUGAUACUGUGCGACUAGAGUGCGGAAGGGGCAACUGGAAUUCUCGGUGUAGCGGUGAAAUGCGUAGAUAUCGAGAGGAACACCUGCGGCGAAGGCGGGUUGCUGGGCCGACACUGACGCUGAUGCGCGAAAGCCAGGGGAGCGAACGGG